UACGUAGGGCGCAAGCGUUGUCCGGAAUUAUUGGGCGUAAAGAGCUCGUAGGUGGUUUGUUACGUCUGCUGUGAAAACCUAGGGCUUAACCCUGGGCCUGCAGUGGAUACGGGCAGACUAGAGGUAGGUAGGGGAGAAUGGAAUUCCCGGUGUAGUGGUGAAAUGCGUAGAUAUCAGGAGGAACACCGGUGGCGAAGGCGGUUCUCUGGGCAUGUUCUGACGCUGAGGAGCGAAAGUGUGGGGAGCGAACAGG
This 253-nucleotide ribosomal RNA is filed under the name uncultured bacterium. Its description in RNAcentral is "partial 16S ribosomal RNA". It matches the Rfam family "Bacterial small subunit ribosomal RNA", at positions 524 to 776 of the family's 1533-position model. The record is from RNAcentral.